RNAcentral lists this ribosomal RNA (406 nucleotides) under uncultured bacterium. RNAcentral's name for it is "partial 16S ribosomal RNA". It matches the Rfam family "Bacterial small subunit ribosomal RNA", at positions 30 to 526 of the family's 1533-position model. The record is from RNAcentral.
AUUGAACGCUGGCGGCAGGCCUAACACAUGCAAGUCGAGCGAGCGGCGGACUGGUGAGUAAUGUCUGGGAAACUGCCUGAUGGAGGGGGCUAACUACUGGAAACGGUAGCUACUACCGCAUACCAUCAGAUGUGCCCAGAUGUGAUUAGCUAGUGGGUGGGGUACUGGCUCACCUAGGCGACGAGCCCUAGCUGGUCUGAGAGGAUGACCAGCCACACUGGACCGGAGACACGGUCCAGACUCCUACGGGAGGCAGCAGUGGGGAAUAUUGCACAAUGGGCGCAAGCCUGAUACAGCCAUGCCGCGUGGAUGAAGAAGGCCUUCGGGUUGUAAAGUACUUUCAGCGGGGAGGCGUUACCCGCAGAAGAAGCACCGGCUAACUCCGUGCCAGCAGCCGCGGUAAUAC